GCCCGAGUGGCGGAAUGGUAGACGCAGGGGAUUCAAAAUCCCCCGCCGAAAGGCUUGUCGGUUCGAGUCCGACCUCGGGUACCA
This 84-nucleotide transfer RNA is filed under the name Rhodobacteraceae bacterium HLUCCO18. Its description in RNAcentral is "tRNA-Leu". It matches the Rfam family "tRNA". Rfam says of the family: Transfer RNA (tRNA) molecules are approximately 80 nucleotides in length. Their secondary structure includes four short double-helical elements and three loops (D, anti-codon, and T loops). The record is from RNAcentral. Lineage: Bacteria; Pseudomonadati; Pseudomonadota; Alphaproteobacteria; Rhodobacterales; Paracoccaceae. RNAcentral also lists the same sequence under 2 other names.